UACGGGGGGGGCAAGCGUUGUUCGGAAUUACUGGGCGUAAAGGGCUCGUAGGCGGCCCACUAAGUCGGAUGUGAAAUCCCCAGGCUUAACCUGGGAACUGCAUCCGAUACUGGAUGGCUUGAAUCCGGGAGAGGGAUGCAGAAUUCCAGGUGUAGCGGUGAAAUGCGUAGAUAUCUGGAGGAAUACCGGUGGCGAAGGCGGCAUCCUGGACCGGCAUUGACGCUGAGGAGCGAAAGCUAGGGGAGCAAACAGG
RNAcentral lists this ribosomal RNA (253 nucleotides) under uncultured bacterium. RNAcentral's name for it is "partial 16S ribosomal RNA". It matches the Rfam family "Bacterial small subunit ribosomal RNA", at positions 524 to 776 of the family's 1533-position model. The record is from RNAcentral.